This 254-nucleotide long non-coding RNA is filed under the name Lathyrus oleraceus (garden pea). RNAcentral describes it as "Pisum sativum (pea) long non-coding RNA (PSAT_LNC039163)". The record is from RNAcentral. Lineage: Eukaryota; Viridiplantae; Streptophyta; Magnoliopsida; Fabales; Fabaceae.
ACAGGUCUAGGGCGACUUUGUUUCAUGAUAUGAUUCAUCGUGAAAGCGAAUGCCAUGUUGAUGACCUGAUGACAAAGUCCCAAGCAGGAGUGGGGCAUCUGGUAAACCGGAGCAAGUUGUUUGACCGGUUGAGAUAACUCAUACUGUUGAUUUCGAAUCAGUGCACUUAUGGAGUGCUGUCCGGUAAAAGGCUUAUUGUGAGCGGAUAAGAGGAAUCGAGGUCGAUCCUGCAAAAAAAAAAAAAAAAAAAAAAA